This 464-nucleotide ribosomal RNA is filed under the name uncultured bacterium. RNAcentral's name for it is "partial 16S ribosomal RNA". It matches the Rfam family "Bacterial small subunit ribosomal RNA", at positions 28 to 507 of the family's 1533-position model. The record is from RNAcentral.
GACGAACGCUGGCGGCGUGCUUAACACAUGCAAGUCGAACGGAAAGGCCCUGCUUGCAGGGUACUCGAGUGGCGAACGGGUGAGUAACACGUGGGUGAUCUGCCCUGCACUUCGGGAUAAGCCUGGGAAACUGGGUCUAAUACCGGAUAGGAGCCAUUUUUAGUGUGAUGGUUGGAAAGUUUUUUCGGUGUAGGAUGAGCUCGCGGCCUAUCAGCUUGUUGGUGGGGUAAUGGCCUACCAAGGCGGCGACGGGUAGCCGGCCUGAGAGGGUGGACGGCCACAUUGGGCCUGGGAUCCGCCCCGGCCUCCUCCGGGGGGCAGCAGUGGGGAAUAUUGCACAAUGGGCGCAAGCCUGAUGCAGCGACGCCGCGUGGGGGAUGACGGCCUUCGGGUUGUAACCUCCUUUCGCUAGGGACGAAGCUUUUUGUGACGGUACCUAGAUAAGAAGCACCGGCUAACACGUG